Molecule: ribosomal RNA, 253 nt
Filed under: uncultured bacterium
Lineage: Bacteria
Description: partial 16S ribosomal RNA
Rfam family: Bacterial small subunit ribosomal RNA
Source: RNAcentral
UACGGGGGGAGCAAGCGUUGUUCGGAUUUACUGGGCGUAAAGGGCGCGUAGGCGGCGCAACAAGUCACUUGUGAAAUCUCCGGGCUUAACCCGGAGCGGCCAAGUGAUACUGUCGUGCUAGAGUGCGGAAGGGGCUACUGGAAUUCUCGGUGUAGCGGUGAAAUGCGUAGAUAUCGAGAGGAACACCUGCGGCGAAGGCGGAUCUCUGGGCCAUUACUGACGCUGAGGAGCGAAAGCGUGGGGAGCGAACAGG